GGGGUCGUAGUCGAAGUUGCUGUAGGCGUCGGGCUCGGUCAGCCAAGACAAGCGCGUCCCCGGCAGCGUCUUCAGGGUGCUCCGGUUCCUCACCAGUUGAACCUGGCUGCAGGGACCUGGACCAUCAGUGAGGUCCAGUCCUGAUGUUGGGUGAUGAGGUCUGGCCCACAGCCGCUGUUCCAGUUCAUCCCAAAGUUGUAAAUUCCUCUGGAGAUGGGGAGUGAGAGUCAACUCUCGGGCAGCAAACUCAGAGUCUGGAUUGUUUGCUUCCUCUCCCAUCCUCUUCAUCAUCAUUAUCCUCCCUGGCCCUCUUCUUGGAUCUUGGAGGCACAAGGCUGUGUGCGGGCGAGGCGCUGGGUCUUCUUCCUCAGCAUUGGUGUCACUGUCAGAGACAGCGUCAUUCAGUUUUUCCAAGCCCCUGAAUCGCCUCCUGCUCAUCUUGUCACCUUCGUCUUCCUCUUUUGAUCUUCUCCUGGAGCCUCCGGGUCUGGGCUAGAGUAGGGCGCAGACACUGGGUCUUCUUCUGCGAUGUCAGACAAUUUAUUCCUGAAUCGCUUCCUGCUCAUCUCCUCGCCUUCCUCAUCUUCCUCUCCGGAUCCUCCAGUCAGAUACAUUUUGACCCAGCUACGCACAGGACUGUUUUGUUAUGUUGAGCACAGUGCAGCAGACGUGCUGUGUUGGCGCUGUCCAUGGUGCUGGAAGUGGUUGAUGACAAAAAGGCCCAGCAGAGACUCCCGGAAGCUUUCCUCAUCAGUCCUGCACUGAGGGAAGGGGAGGCAGUCUCGUCCGCUUUCAGCCCCGUGGCCACUCGUCUCCCCCGGAAAGACACAAGGAAUGUGCACAACUUCUCAGCUUCCAGUGCAGGAAAGCUGAAUGUACCCUUUUAGGAACUGUACGUAUAAAUGAAUGACUUAAUUUUUGCAGUAAUUCCAAGAAUUAAAAAAAAAUCCAUUCAUAAAUGAUUAUUCGUCUUUAUCAUAAAGAGGUGUGUAUGAAGCUGUGAUCAUUGCUGUGCACUGAUCUGCUCUGGAGGCCUGCUAUUGGCUUAUUCAGUGCUUGAGAGAGGGUACUGUGGGUAGACAUACUGUAGUUGUCUAUUGUAUUGUCUUCUAACUUGAAAAUAAACACAAGAAAUAUUGAUCCAA
Molecule: long non-coding RNA, 1145 nt
Organism: Dicentrarchus labrax (European seabass)
Lineage: Eukaryota; Metazoa; Chordata; Actinopteri; Moronidae
Exons: 4
Source: RefSeq, a predicted model, not a curated record